UAGUGGCUGGAAGUUAACGCAUUAAGCACUCCGCCUGGGGGAGUACGGCCGCAAGGCUGAAACUCAAAGGAAUUGACGGGGGCCCGCACAAGCGGUGGAGCAUGUGGUUUAAUUCGAAGCAACGCGAAGAACCUUACCAGGUCUUGACAUCCUCUGAAAACCCUAGAGAUAGGGCUUCUCCUUCGGGAGCAGAGUGACAGGUGGUGCAUGGUUGUCGUCAGCUCGUGUCGUGAGAUGUUGGGUUAAGUCCCGCAACGAGCGCAACCCUUGAUCUUAGUUGCCAUCAUUAAGUUGGGCACUCUAAGGUGACUGCCGGUGACAAACCGGAGGAAGGUGGGGAUGACGUCAAAUCAUCAUGCCCCUUAUGACCUGGGCUACACACGUGCUACAAUGGACGGUACAAAGAGCU
RNAcentral lists this ribosomal RNA (409 nucleotides) under Bacillus pacificus. RNAcentral's name for it is "bacterial SSU rRNA". It matches the Rfam family "Bacterial small subunit ribosomal RNA", at positions 839 to 1248 of the family's 1533-position model. The record is from RNAcentral. Lineage: Bacteria; Bacillati; Bacillota; Bacilli; Caryophanales; Bacillaceae.